RNAcentral lists this ribosomal RNA (364 nucleotides) under Streptomyces novaecaesareae. Its description in RNAcentral is "bacterial SSU rRNA". It matches the Rfam family "Bacterial small subunit ribosomal RNA", at positions 100 to 498 of the family's 1533-position model. Lineage: Bacteria; Bacillati; Actinomycetota; Actinomycetes; Kitasatosporales; Streptomycetaceae. The record is from RNAcentral.
GAACGGGUGAGUAACGUGGGCAAUCUGCCCUUCACUCUGGGACAACCCUGGAAACGGGUAAUACCGGAUAACACUUCCACUCUGAGGAGGUUAAAAGUCCGGCGGUGAAGGAUGAGCCCGCGGCCUAUCAGCUUGUUGGUGAGGUAAUGGCUCACCAGGCGACGACGGGUAGCCGGCCUGAGAGGGCGACCGGCCACACUGGGACUGAGACACGGCCCAGACUCCUACGGGAGGCAGCAGUGGGGAAUAUUGCACAAUGGGCGAAAGCCUGAUGCAGCGACGCCGCGUGAGGGAUGACGGCCUUCGGGUUGUAAACCUCUUUCAGCAGGGAAGAAGGACGGUACCUGCAGAAGAAGCGCCGGCU